ACGAACGCUGGCGGCGUGCCUAAUCCAUGCACGUCGAGCGGACUUUCCAGAAGCUUGCUUUUUGAAAGUUAGCGGCGGACGGGUGAGUAACACGUGGGCAACCUGCCUGCAAGACGGGGAUAACUCCGGGAAACCGGGGCUAAUACCGGAUAAUAUCUUCCUUCGCAUGAAGGAAGGUUGAAAGGCGGCGCAAGCUGCCGCUUGCAGAUGGGCCCGCGGCGCAUUAGCUAGUUGGUGAGGUAACGGCUCACCAAGGCGACGAUGCGUAGCCGACCUGAGAGGGUGAUCGGCCACACUGGGACUGAGACACGGCCCAGACUCCUACGGGAGGCAGCAGUAGGGAAUCUUCCGCAAUGGACGAAAGUCUGACGGAGCAACGCCGCGUGAGCGAAGAAGGGCUUCGGAUCGUAAAGCUCUGUUGUCAGGGAAGAACAAGUACCGUUCGAACAGGGCGGUACCUUGACGGUACCUGACCAGAAAGCCACGGCUAACUACGUG
RNAcentral lists this ribosomal RNA (498 nucleotides) under uncultured bacterium. RNAcentral describes it as "partial 16S ribosomal RNA". It matches the Rfam family "Bacterial small subunit ribosomal RNA", at positions 29 to 507 of the family's 1533-position model. The record is from RNAcentral.